Molecule: long non-coding RNA, 1829 nt
Organism: Triticum dicoccoides
Lineage: Eukaryota; Viridiplantae; Streptophyta; Magnoliopsida; Poales; Poaceae
Exons: 2
Source: RefSeq, a predicted model, not a curated record
GCUUCGGCCGUCAUCCCGCCCCCAUUGCCCCCAACUCCGAUCGCUGCCCCGCCCGAUCGCCCCUGAAUCUCGCCAUCACCCCACCUUCAUCUCCUCCCCGGAACUUCCUGCUGUGCACACCCACCUGCGUUCCCCCGGAGAACCGACGCCACAUUAGUCGCCUACUUGCCCCGGCUCACUCUGCCUGCUUCCUAUUCCAGAAAAAUUGGGGGCCAUCGGCGGGGAUCCAAGCUUUUCUCGGCUCUGCCCAGCGCCUCCCCACUCUGGCACGAUCACCCAAAGUGGAGCUCCCACGCCGCCCUUCUUCCUCAUCCCGGUUCCCACACCUCUGCCUCCUCCCGAUUGCCCUGACGGGGACACAACGCCAUCCCAGUCCAGCCCCGCAGUGUCAGGGAGGUCGGGGCCAUCGCGAGUAGCAGUCCAGAGCAGUCAAGGUGAGGGCCUGCGUACACUGCCGCCGCUCACCUCCCCAUGACCUGCAUACAGAGUUCUAACUUGUUGCAAAAGUUCAAAAAGAAGAAUAUAUGCAGUCCAACUUAUUCUAGCAUGCUGCUUCUCCUUCGAAUCUAGAUGCUACAACAGUCCUCCUUUGUGAAGAUGAACUGAAUGUUGUUGUUUUGAUGUUCUAUAGAAAGUGUACUGAAUUUUGCAAUUUUAUCUUUUUUACACACACUACUCCUCAAGCUGGCGGCCGCGGGACCCUGUGCCUCCACGGGCCUCAUCUCCCGCUAUCGGCGACAGCACUCCCUUCCUCCAGCACGUCGCCGACGAGGCCAACCGCCUACACCGUCUUCGGCUGCAACGAUGUCGUCUCGACGAGGCCAACAGCUUACACCGGCUUCGGCUGCAACGACGUUGUCUCUCUCCGUCAACCUUCUCGUCAACUCUGUACAUCAGUUUGAUUGCCUAUAAACAAAAUUCUAUAAUUUUCAUGUCUGAAAUUAAGGAGUUCAUUAUAUCCAUUACAAAAAAAUGUUGAAUUUUUAGAAGUUCUAGUACAUAUGUUAGAAGAGUUCAUUGACAAAAGAAAAUCAUCAGUUCUUAACAGUUAAAAGAAAUGAGUUUUGCAAUUAUGGUGCUGAAAAUUUCAUGACCGGUGUUCUUUUGGGAUGAACAUUUGUACAUACCCUGUUUUUACUUUACUCGUAAGGACUGAGGAGAUGAAUGUGUUCUAUCUUUUGGACUCAGUAUGUUUUAGUAAAAGUGAAAAAAAUGAACUUCAUUAAUGCAAAGAAUAAUCUUUUUUUCUUCUGAUAAAACUUAUGUUUCUAUUGGGAAUAUCUGGUGUGAUCUAUGCUUGUAGUGAUCAUGAAUAGACUAACAAUGAUUGCGUUGUUACGGCAGCCAGCAAGGGAAACGGUGGUGUAGCUUGUUGCUUGCAAAGGGAUGAGUGGAAGGUGAAGAACCGAAGACACUGCAGGGACAAAAGUUGGAGGUCUGCUCAAAUUUUUUGUUACGGAUGCCUCUUUAGUAUUUACAGUUUCAGUCACCACCGGCCUCCUCCGACAUGCUCGUCACCUCCUCAGCGCUGGAGUGAAGGUCGGCUCCUAUGCACUCUACAGUUCGGUUUCUACUGAUGUUGUAGCUCCUAAAUCCGCCGUGGACACACCUGUGACACCCCGUGACUGGCCGGUGGAGCUCAGCCGCUCCACUGCUUCCCCUUCCCAUGCAUCACGAAUCAGGGCGCGGCCAUAACAUGCUAGCAAUUUUAUGCUUUGGCUGGUAGUAAUGUGUUUGUGCUAAUGUCCGGUAGGAACUCUAGUUGUACUGAUAAAAGAGAACCAAACCAACAUAUAAGGGAAAAAAGCAGCAUCUCUCUAUCUUUGAUC